GGUGAAGUGGCUCAGUGGUAAUAGGGUGCCGGCAUAGCAAGCUUGAAGUCCUGAGUUAAUCCUCAGCAUCACCA
This 74-nucleotide transfer RNA is filed under the name Dipodomys ordii (Ord's kangaroo rat). It matches the Rfam family "tRNA". Rfam says of the family: Transfer RNA (tRNA) molecules are approximately 80 nucleotides in length. Their secondary structure includes four short double-helical elements and three loops (D, anti-codon, and T loops). Further hydrogen bonds mediate the characteristic L-shaped molecular structure. tRNAs have two regions of fundamental functional importance: the anti-codon, which is responsible for specific mRNA codon recognition, and the 3' end, to which the tRNAs corresponding amino acid is attached (by aminoacyl-tRNA synthetases). tRNAs cope with the degeneracy of the genetic code in two manners: having more than one tRNA (with a specific anti-codon) for a particular amino acid; and 'wobble' base-pairing, i.e. permitting non-standard base-pairing at the 3rd anti-codon position. The record is from Rfam by way of RNAcentral. Lineage: Eukaryota; Metazoa; Chordata; Mammalia; Rodentia; Heteromyidae.